UACGAAGGGGGCUAGCGUUGCUCGGAAUCACUGGGCGUAAAGCGCACGUAGGCGGAUUGUUAAGUCAGGGGUGAAAUCCUGGAGCUCAACUCCAGAACUGCCUUUGAUACUGGCGAUCUUGAGUCCGGGAGAGGUGAGUGGAACUGCGAGUGUAGAGGUGAAAUUCGUAGAUAUUCGCAAGAACACCAGAGGCGAAGGCGGCUCACUGGCCCGGUACUGACGCUGAGGUGCGAAAGCGUGGGGAGCAAACAGG
RNAcentral lists this ribosomal RNA (253 nucleotides) under uncultured bacterium. RNAcentral's name for it is "partial 16S ribosomal RNA". It matches the Rfam family "Bacterial small subunit ribosomal RNA", at positions 524 to 776 of the family's 1533-position model. The record is from RNAcentral.